CACGCCGUAAACGAUGGAUACUAGUUGUUUGGAAUUCGUUCUGAGUGACUAAGCGAAAGUGAUAAGUAUCCCACCUGGGGAGUACGAACGCAAGUUUGAAACUCAAAGGAAUUGACGGGG
RNAcentral lists this ribosomal RNA (120 nucleotides) under uncultured bacterium. RNAcentral's name for it is "partial 16S ribosomal RNA". It matches the Rfam family "Bacterial small subunit ribosomal RNA", at positions 796 to 918 of the family's 1533-position model. The record is from RNAcentral.